Molecule: ribosomal RNA, 497 nt
Filed under: uncultured bacterium
Lineage: Bacteria
Description: partial 16S ribosomal RNA
Rfam family: Bacterial small subunit ribosomal RNA
Source: RNAcentral
GAUGAACGCUGGCGGCGUGCCUAAUACAUGCAAGUCGAGCGAACGGACGAGAAGCUUGCUUCUCUGAUGUUAGUGGCGGACGGGUGAGUAACACGUGGAUAACCUACCUAUAAGACUGGGAUAACUUCGGGAAACCGGAGCUAAUACCGGAUAAUAUUUUGAACCGCAUGGUUCAAAAGUGAAAGACGGUCUUGCUGUCACUUAUAGAUGGAUCCGCGCUGCAUUAGCUAGUUGGUAAGGUAACGGCUUACCAAGGCAACGAUGCAUAGCCGACCUGAGAGGGUGAUCGGCCACACUGGAACUGAGACACGGUCCAGACUCCUACGGGAGGCAGCAGUAGGGAAUCUUCCGCAAUGGGCGAAAGCCUGACGGAGCAACGCCGCGUGAGUGAUGAAGGUCUUCGGAUCGUAAAACUCUGUUAUUAGGGAAGAACAUAUGUGUAAGUAACUGUGCACAUCUUGACGGUACCUAAUCAGAAAGCCGCGGCUAACUACGUG